RNAcentral lists this ribosomal RNA (320 nucleotides) under uncultured eukaryote. RNAcentral describes it as "partial 18S ribosomal RNA". It matches the Rfam family "Eukaryotic small subunit ribosomal RNA", at positions 1470 to 1796 of the family's 1831-position model. The record is from RNAcentral.
CCCUUAGAUGUUCUGGGCUGCACGCGUGUUACAAUGGCGCUUGCAACAAGUCUUGCCAACCCGAUAGGGUGAGCGGAUCUUUGAAGAGGCGUCGUGAUCGGGACAGUUGAUUGCAAUUAUUCGACUCGAACGAGGAAUUCCUUGUAAUCGCGAUUCAUCAUAUCGCGCUGAAUACGUCCCUGCCCUUUGUACACACCGCCCGUCGCUCCUACCGAUUGAGCGAUCCGGUGAAUGUUUUGGACUGGCGUCAGAAGCGGUUCGCUCCUGACACUACGAAAUUUUGUAAACCUUAUCGCUUAGAGGAAGGAAAAGUCGUAACA